AUUGAACGCUGGCGGCAUGCUUUACACAUGCAAGUCGAACGGUAACAGGCCGCAAGGUGCUGACGAGUGGCGAACGGGUGAGUAAUGCAUCGGAACGUGCCCAGCCGUGGGGGGUAACUACUCGAAAGAGUAGCUAAUACCGCAUACGAUCUAUGGAUGAAAGCGGGGGGGCGGAAGGGCUCGCGCGAUUGGAGCGGCCGAUGUCAGAUAUGGUAGUUGGUGGGGUAAAGGCUCACCAAGCCAACGAUCUGUAGCUGGGCUGAGAGGACGAGCAGCCACACUGGGACUGAGACACGGCCCAGACUCCUACGGGAGGCAGCGGUGGGGAAUUUUGGACAAUGGGCGCAAGCCUGAUCCAGCAAUGCCGCGUGGAGGAAGAAGGCCUUCGGGUUGUAAAAUGCUUUUGUACGGAACGAAACGGCUCUGGUUAAUACCCGGGGCUAAUGACGGUACCGUAAGAAUAAGCACCGGCUAACUACGUG
RNAcentral lists this ribosomal RNA (482 nucleotides) under uncultured bacterium. Its description in RNAcentral is "partial 16S ribosomal RNA". It matches the Rfam family "Bacterial small subunit ribosomal RNA", at positions 29 to 507 of the family's 1533-position model. The record is from RNAcentral.